UGAACGCGGCGGCAUGCCUUACACAUGCAAGUCGAACGGCAGCACGGGUGCUUGCACUGGUGGCGAGUGGCGAACGGGUGAGUAAUACAUCGGAACAUGUCCAGUAGUGGGGGAUAGCCCGGCGAAAGCCGGAUUAAUACCGCAUACGAUCCCAUGGAUGAAAGCGGGGGACCUUCGGGCCUCGCGCUAUUGGGGUGGCCGAUGGCGGAUUAGGUAGUUGGUGGGGUAAAGGCCUACCAAGCCGACGAUCCGUAGCUGGUCUGAGAGGACGACCAGCCACACUGGGACUGAGACACGGCCCAGACUCCUACGGGAGGCAGCAGUGGGGAAUUUUGGACAAUGGGCGAAAGCCUGAUCCAGCAAUGCCGCGUGUGUGAAGAAGGCCUUCGGGUUGUAAAGCACUUUUGUCCGGAAAGAAAUCCUCUGCCCUAAUACGGCGGGGGGAUGACGGUACCGGAAGAAUAAGCACCGGCUAACUACGUGCCAGCAGCCGCGGUAAUACGUAGGGUGCAAGCGUUAAUCGGAAUUACUGGGCGUAAAGCGUGCGCAGGCGGUGAUGCAAGACCGAUGUGAAAUCCCCGGGCUUAACCUGGGAACUGCAUUGGUGACUGCAUCGCUGGAGUAUGGCAGAGGGGGGUAGAAUUCCACGUGUAGCAGUGAAAUGCGUAGAGAUGUGGAGGAAUACCGAUGGCGAAGGCAGCCCCCUGGGCCAAUACUGACGCUCAUGCACGAAAGCGUGGGGAGCAAACAGGAUUAGAUACCCUGGUAGUCCACGCCCUAAACGAUGUCAACUGGUUGUCGGGCCUUCAUUGGCUUGGUAACGUAGCUAACGCGUGAAGUUGACCGCCUGGGGAGUACGGUCGCAAGAUUAAAACUCAAAGGAAUUGACGGGGACCCGCACAAGCGGUGGAUGAUGUGGAUUAAUUCGAUGCAACGCGAAAAACCUUACCUACCCUUGACAUGUACGGAAUCCUGGUGAGAGCUGGGAGUGCCCGAAAGGGAGCCGUAAC
This 1010-nucleotide ribosomal RNA is filed under the name Paraburkholderia sacchari. RNAcentral describes it as "bacterial SSU rRNA". It matches the Rfam family "Bacterial small subunit ribosomal RNA", at positions 30 to 1033 of the family's 1533-position model. Lineage: Bacteria; Pseudomonadati; Pseudomonadota; Betaproteobacteria; Burkholderiales; Burkholderiaceae. The record is from RNAcentral.